This 512-nucleotide ribosomal RNA is filed under the name uncultured bacterium. RNAcentral's name for it is "partial 16S ribosomal RNA". It matches the Rfam family "Bacterial small subunit ribosomal RNA", at positions 28 to 507 of the family's 1533-position model. The record is from RNAcentral.
GAUGAACGCUGGCGGCGUGCCUAAUACAUGCAAGUCGAACGAAACUUCUUUAUCACCGAGUGCUUGCACUCACCGAUAAAGAGUUGAGUGGCGAACGGGUGAGUAACACGUGGGCAGCCUGCCCAAAAGAGGGGGAUAACACUUGGAAACAGGUGCUAAUACCGCAUAACCAUAGUUACCGCAUGGUAACUAUGUAAAAGGUGGCUAUACUACCGCUUUUGGAUGGGCCCGCGGCGCAUUAGCUAGUUGGUAGGGUAAAGGCUUACCAAGGCAAUGAUGCGUAGCCGAAUUGAGAGGUUGAUCGGCCACAUUGGGACUGAGACAUGGCCCAAACUCCUACGGGAGGCAGCAGUAGGGAAUCUUCCACAAUGGGCGAAAGCCUGAUGGAGCAACGCCGCGUGGGUGAAGAAGGUCUUCGGAUCGUAAAACCCUGUUGUUAGAGAAGAAAGUGCGUGAGAGUAACUGUUCACGUUUCGACGGUAUCUAACCAGAAAGCCACGGCUAACUACGUG